This is a small nucleolar RNA of Ornithorhynchus anatinus (platypus), 138 nucleotides long. The record is from RefSeq and is a predicted model, not a curated record. Lineage: Eukaryota; Metazoa; Chordata; Mammalia; Monotremata; Ornithorhynchidae.
GCUCUUUCAGGAUUGCACCUGGAGAGUUUCCAGUACUCUAUCAGCUUUGACUACAGGAGGUAAAGUCCAGCAGAGGCAUACUCAUUCCAUUCCUAGCUUGGGCAAUGGCUAGUGAGGAGAAGACAAUCUGCUAUAAGU